This 497-nucleotide ribosomal RNA is filed under the name uncultured bacterium. RNAcentral describes it as "partial 16S ribosomal RNA". It matches the Rfam family "Bacterial small subunit ribosomal RNA", at positions 28 to 507 of the family's 1533-position model. The record is from RNAcentral.
GACGAACGCUGGCGGCGUGCCUAAUACAUGCAAGUAGAACGCUGAAGAGAGGAGCUUACUCUUCUUGGAUGAGUUGCGAACGGGUGAGUAACGCGUAGGUAACCUGCCUUGUAGCGGGGGAUAACUAUUGGAAACGAUAGCUAAUACCGCAUAACAAUGGAUGACACAUGUCAUUUAUUUGAAAGGGGCAAUUGCUCCACUACAAGAUGGACCUGCGUUGUAUUAGCUAGUAGGUGAGGUAAUGGCUCACCUAGGCGACGAUACAUAGCCGACCUGAGAGGGUGAUCGGCCACACUGGGACUGAGACACGGCCCAGACUCCUGCGGGAGGCAGCAGUAGGGAAUCUUCGGCAAUGGGGGCAACCCUGACCGAGCAACGCCGCGUGAGUGAAGAAGGUUUUCGGAUCGUAAAGCUCUGUUGUAAGUCAAGAACGGGUGUGAGAGUGGAAAGUUCACACUGUGACGGUAGCUUACCAGAAAGGGACGGCUAACUACGUG